This 433-nucleotide ribosomal RNA is filed under the name uncultured bacterium. RNAcentral describes it as "partial 16S ribosomal RNA". It matches the Rfam family "Bacterial small subunit ribosomal RNA", at positions 29 to 507 of the family's 1533-position model. The record is from RNAcentral.
AGCGAACGCUGGCGGCAGGCCUAACACAUGCAAGUCGAACGAACUCUUCGGAUUUAGUGGCGGACGGGUGAGUAACACGUGGGAACGUGCCUUUUUGUUCGGAAUAACUCAGUGAAACUUGUUCUAAUACCGAAUGUGCCCUUCGGGGGAAAGAUUUAUCGCCAUUAGAGCGGCCCGCGUCUGAUUAGCUAGUUGGUGAGGUAACGGCUCACCAAGGCGACGAUCAGUAGCUGGUCUGAGAGGAUGACCAGCCACACUGGGACUGAGCCACGGCCCAGACUCCUACGGGAGGCAGCAGUGGGGACUCUUGCGCAAUGGGCGAAAGCCUGAAGCAGCCAUGCCGCGUGAAUGAUGAAGGUCUUAGGAUCGUAAAAUUCUUUCAACGGGGACGAUAAUGACGGUACCCGGAGAAGAAGCCCCGGCUAACUUCGUG